CAGAAAAAGUAGCUAGCGUUUAUCUUCUUCUCGUUUACCUUCUAUUUUACUCAUGGUUGGUGAACUUUCCGGGAAUCAUAUGUAAAAAAAUGAAAAAGAAAAAGAAUAAAGAAAAGGAAAGAUGGGGUUUUGCUCUAAUAUAAAGGUUCACACCGUCCAUACCUAAAAAGUGAGAUAGACCUGAUAUAAUCAGAGUCAUGUGUUUUAAGAACUUUAUGGCGUUUUCAGUUCAUGAAUGGCUUAGAUUACUCUUCAUAUUAAGAAGGGACCACAAAGAGUGGAAAAAUAUUUUUGUGGGGCAGAAAAUCUGAUGCAUUACAAAAGAAUUGAUCCUUUUCUUGUAUAAGCAAGAAGUGAGAUCAGGAGUAUAAGUGAUCAUCAGGAAGAGAAAAUUAAACACAAUACUUAGAAUGAACAAGAAUGGAUACACCUAUUCAAAGUUCAGACAUCCUCAAAGCGGUGGUUUCCUGUUUAGAUUGGAAUCAACCUCUGCAGAAACAACCACUUCUUCAGAAAGGUAGAUUGGAAUCAAACUCCACAGAAACAACCACCACUUCACAAAGGAAGAGUCCAAAUUCAAACUAUUAUUCAAUGUACCGGAUCAUGAGUCAUACUGGGCGAAAAUUUUGAAAAGCUUUAAAGAAGGGACACAAAUGAAAUACAAUACAAGAAUUGAUUCUAAGUUUUACAGGAAAAAAAUGGCCCUAAGUUUUUAGGUAUCAAGCAACUCACUUGAUAACAAGACAUAAACCUUUUCCAGGCAAACCUCUAGGGACUUUAAUUACAUACGUAUUUGGAUGUCCAUCACUGUUGACACAGAAAAUUUAUUAGUUAGCUCUUUAGUUUUUAAAAAAUACAUUAAACA
This 865-nucleotide long non-coding RNA is filed under the name Manihot esculenta (cassava). Its description in RNAcentral is "long non-coding RNA (MESC_LNC006948)". Lineage: Eukaryota; Viridiplantae; Streptophyta; Magnoliopsida; Malpighiales; Euphorbiaceae. The record is from RNAcentral.